Panicum virgatum (switchgrass) is the source of this 742-nucleotide long non-coding RNA. RefSeq lists it as uncharacterized. NCBI's taxonomy places the organism in Eukaryota, Viridiplantae, Streptophyta, Magnoliopsida, Poales, Poaceae. The transcript has 2 exons. The record is from RefSeq and is a predicted model, not a curated record.
UCUCUUUUUUUCAUACAGGUAUUCAUGCCUGCAUGCUCAGGUUAACACUACUUUGUGUACUGCAUCAAUCUCAUACACAAUUAUAUUGAUAUUCUGGACUCAAUUGCCUACGUUUGGGGCAACACCUCUCCUAAAACUCGCCACUGUCCGAUCUACAACAAGAUACCAAUCAUAAGUGCUGCAUUCCAGAGGGUCACCAAUAACAAAUUCCCUUGUUUUGAGCGUUGGAGCAGGCCGAUGAUCGAUCUGCCCAAGCAAGCUGGCCCCUGUGAUUGCAUGUUCUUCCUUUGGAAAUACAUGGAAUAUUGGGACGGCGAGCGCCUCAACAUUGACAUCAAUCCGUUCAAGGGGAUGAUAUACAGGGUUGAGCUGAUGCACUACAGCAUUUUCCACCCCCUGAACCAAGCCGACCUGCCCGAUGAACUGGAUGUCUACAGGCUUGGCGGGAGGAAGAUUGACUGGAGCGGAUCCCAUUGAUGACUCCUCUCUUUUCUUUUGUCUUUCUCUAGAAUUGUGUUGUGUGCCAUGACGUAGUAUCAGCUGUACAAAAAACCUCUCGUUGUAGAUACUCUCUAUCCUUUUUUUCUUUUUUCACGCAACUGGACCUGAGUAUCUGUUUGUUAUGUAGUAGCAACUGUGCGCACCCCUCACUGUGCAACUGUUACACAGCAGUGUCGCAAAUCGUGAUAUGUAAAUAUAUCUAACAAGAUAUUCAUCCAUUUUCCAGUUUAUGCUCAUAUUA